Long non-coding RNA from Mesocricetus auratus (golden hamster), 3002 nucleotides. RefSeq lists it as uncharacterized. NCBI's taxonomy places the organism in Eukaryota, Metazoa, Chordata, Mammalia, Rodentia, Cricetidae. The record is from RefSeq and is a predicted model, not a curated record. The transcript is spliced from 3 exons.
CCUUGUCCUGGCAGGAAGCCUCUGCGCUUCCGUCUCCUUCUCCAGUGUGACCUGACAACUCCCCACCGCACUACAAGUUCAUCCGCUUUCAGAGAAAGAUUAAAAAAAAAAAUGCUUUCCUGGUUUUAGCAGAAAGAUAUUGAAUAAUAUGUGCAAACUUAAACUCUUGAGACUAGGCAGUUCAGCAGGUAAGAGCACUGGCUGCUCUUCCAGAGGACCCAGGCUUGAUUCUUGGCACCCACGCGGUGGCUACCAUCAUCUGUAACUCAGGUUCCAGGGGAUCUAACACACUUCUCUGGUGUGAUAGUUUCCAGGUUGUCUAAGAUGUGACAGUCUCCCGUAAUAGUUAGACAUAUGAUGCAUAGACAUACAUGCAAUCAAAACAUCUUCACGCUAAAAAAAAAUAACAACACACAAACCAAUAGAAGUAAAUGAAAAUCGAGUGCUCACGAUGCUAGCAGAGUUGGAGGCGUUCUUCUAUCAAGAGGCCACCAUCGGAUGGGAGUCCUGAACCUUAUACUCCGCCAUGAGCACACCAUACCAGAAACACAGAUGAACUCGAUUUGUGUCUGUCCGCAAUGUCAGACUUUGUUGGAGAACAAUACAUUCACAGGGUUCAGUGGUUUCAACAGAAGACAUUUGCCGAACAAGCCUGCCUACGGUUGCCAUCUGUCCAAGGUCACCAAGGUGGUGGGAUUACACAGCAAGUGGCUGACGUCCCCAGACCCCACAGCACCCAGGAAGAGCUCGGUUCAUGGACACAGGAGCUGACAGAGCCCAAGGCAAACAUUUAGGCCGUGAUCUGCAUCCAUGCUGUGUCUCGUCACGACCUUCAGCUUAAGACGCAUCUGUCGGGCACAGAGAGUUUUCAACACAGCGUUUCCUACGGGACGUGGCUUCCCAGCACCAUUCAGGGACUCGGUUCCUUACCUGAGCUUGCCAUGGAGUCUUCAAAGAAGACAGCGAGGGAUACACACAUUCAUGUAAAGAGGUCCCAAGGGCAGAAUAAGUUCAAAGAGCAAGUAAAUUUGUCGAAAGCAUGUGUAAGCCAUUAUCCAACGUCAUCAGUCAUGAAUGUGGUCCAGCUCUUAUCUGUCAUGUGGAGUGCAAAAUCCUGGUGCAGUUGUUUAUCGACAACAAGCGGUUCUCUGUUGUCACUAUUUUAUCAUCUUGCUUUAACAUCAAGUGCUCUCAAACACACCACGCUCUCAUUUCCUCCAGUCUUCUGCUUCUAAUGGCCUACCAGCUCAUGUCUCCUGCCUGCCUGCCUGUCUUAGGAACUCAUGUAGCUACCGACUUCUGCCAAGCUGCCAUGGGGGCCAUCUCUUUCCAUGACAUUUCUUAGACCCCCGAAGCAAGACAGAACAUUUACCCGUUUGUUUAUUUGCCGUAAAGUCAACUUGCGGUGCCGUAUGCAAGAAAAAACAUUUAGAGAUCCAAGAUUUGCACACGGGAAGCUGAGGAGCUUUCAGAUGUUCUAAGUGUGCUCGGGAGCAAGAAACCAAGUCUUGGAAAUAUAUGGUGUUUGGGUGUGGUGAUAAGAAGAGACAGGAGGAAGGAUGGUGUUCAUAUUGAAGCCUGCAAUUACAGCAGUGUGCCUACCCUGGAGACCAGUCCGAGAAGCAUGCAAUAAAGGGGUAUGUUAUUAAACUAGCUACCUGCUGGGUAAUUGGAGUUCAUAUAUCUGGGAAAAUUCUAGAAGCUCAUAGAAAACAAGUAUCUUAGCAUCACCCACCUAAAGUUGAGUGAAGGAUGCUGGAAUAGGGGAGGGAGCAUCAAUAGCACCAAUGUCCUAGAAAUUUGUGUCCUGGAAGGGAUGAGAGAAAGUCCUCCAGCCAAGGAAGGCAGGUGGCCCUGUUGGAAGAUCCCUGGAGAGCACUUCAAGGGGCAAAGGGGCGUAGAUGUAGCAGCCUUCCCUGUGGAACUGUGUUCUCCUGUCCCUGAAGCGAAGUUCACCCCAGAAGGCUGAGCAGUGGCCCCCACACCCAGCUUAUAAAAAUAUCCACGUAGUUUUCUAGAGUGUUGUACCAGUUUCCUAGGGAUGUUACUAGGAACGGCUUCACAAAGCACCACAGCCCUGGUGACUUAACUGGCACUGAUUUUUCUCAAAACCAGGUCUCUUAAUGUCCGAGACUAAGGCAUCAGCAGGGUGUUGCCUCUGAGUCCUUCCUCCUUGGUCUACAUGUGGGCAUCUUCCUCCGGCGUCUCACAGGGGCGUCCUCCCCCCCCCCCGUGUCUGUGCAUCCUAAUCUCUCCUUUGUAGAAGUGCCAAGGUUACAGUAAAUUAGGGCCCACCCAGAUGACCUCAUUUUGUCUUAGUUGAACAUCCAUCUCCAAAUAAAGCACGAGCUUAGGACUUCAGCAAGAAAGUUUGCAAGGUAUACAGUUCAGUCGGUAACACACACAGUUCAAAAUGGAGCUGUUGAGUGUAUACACUUCCUCUUUUAAUAAAUUAGCCAAAUUGUCACCGGAGAGUCAUACAGCAUGUAACCACAAAGACAUCUCUCUGGCAUAAGGGUUAUUUGGAGCUAACGUCACUUUAGAAAAUGUUCUGAGAGGAAAACUUGGGGUAUUUUUCCUCCUGAGAGCUGGAGAUAAAGCCCAGGGAAGCUGUCUUCUCUGUAUGAAUGAAGAAACCUUCUUAUCACCAGAAACAGGACUGGGAGAAUUCUGGCCAAAGAAUCUCACUAAAAUAGCCUUUCAACAUGAAGCUAGGAGGGGGACCAGUUGUGAAGAAGUCAGCAGGGGUAGGAAAGGAAUCCAAGAGGGUGGAGGUGUGAAUGAGAUCAAAAUGCAGUGUAUAUUUAUUGAAAUGUUUCAGUAUGCUAGAAAUUGGAAAUAAAGCAGACAUGGUCCCUGACUUUGUGGAGCUAAUGUAGUAGAACAAACAAAAAACGAUACAUAGAUAAGUAAGUAAAUGACUGUAAUAAUUUCCCAUUUCUGGAACAUUGAAGAUUUUUAAUAAAACAGUUAUAGCACCUGGAAGUGUUAUACAUGCAUAA